AGAGUGAACGCUGGCGGUAGGCCUAACACGUGCAAGUCGAACGGCAGCACGGUAAGAGCUUGCUCUUAUGGGUGGCGAGUGGCGGACGGGUGAGGAAUACAUCGGAAUCUACCUUUUGGUGGGGGAUAACGUAGGGAAACUUACGCUAAUACCGCAUACGCCCUUCGGGGGAAAGCCGGGGACCAGCAAUGGCCUGGCGCUGAUAGAUGAGCCGAUGUCGGAUUAGCUAGUUGGUGAGGUAAUGGACUCGACCAAGGCGACGAUCCGUAGCUGGUCUGAGAGGAUGGAUCGAGCCACACUGGAACUGAGACACGGUCCAGACUACCGUACGGGAGGCAGCGAGGUACGGGGAAUAGUAGGACAAGUCGGG
Molecule: ribosomal RNA, 370 nt
Filed under: uncultured soil bacterium
Lineage: Bacteria
Description: bacterial SSU rRNA
Rfam family: Bacterial small subunit ribosomal RNA
Source: RNAcentral